RNAcentral lists this ribosomal RNA (381 nucleotides) under uncultured bacterium. RNAcentral describes it as "bacterial SSU rRNA". It matches the Rfam family "Bacterial small subunit ribosomal RNA", at positions 524 to 903 of the family's 1533-position model. The record is from RNAcentral.
UACGUAGGGUGCGAGCGUUAAUCGGAAUUACUGGGCGUAAAGCGUGCGCAGGUGGUUUGUUAAGUCAGAUGUGAAAGCCCCGAGCUUAACUUGGGAACUGCGUUUGAAACUGGCAAGCUAGAGUCUGUCAGAGGGGAGUAGAAUUCCACGUGUAGCAGUGAAAUGCGUAGAGAUGUGGAGGAAUACCAAUGGCGAAGGCAGCCCCCUGGGAUAAGACUGACGCUCAUGCACGAAAGCGUGGGGGAGCAAACAGGAUUAGAUACCCUGGUAGUCCACGCCCUAAACGAUGUCAACUGGUUGUUGGGCAACUUGAUUGUUCAGUAACGAAGCUAACGCGAGAAGUUGACCGCCUGGGGAGUACGGUCGCAAGAUUAAAACUCA